AGUCGGAUAGCUCAGUUGGUUAGAGCACUGUGCUGAUAACGCAGGGGUCGCGAGUUCGAGUCUCGCUCUGACUACAA
This 77-nucleotide transfer RNA is filed under the name Gammaproteobacteria bacterium. RNAcentral describes it as "tRNA-Ile". It matches the Rfam family "tRNA". From Rfam's summary of the family: Transfer RNA (tRNA) molecules are approximately 80 nucleotides in length. Their secondary structure includes four short double-helical elements and three loops (D, anti-codon, and T loops). The record is from RNAcentral. Lineage: Bacteria; Pseudomonadati; Pseudomonadota; Gammaproteobacteria.